AACAGCAACGGAAAUAACGAAAAUAACUGAAAUAAUGAAAAUAACGGAAGUAAGGAAAAUAACGGAAAUAACAGAAAUAAAGGAAAUAACCUCCACAGAGACAGAAACAUAUGGCAGAAAAGUAGGUGACAGGUCAAUAACAACAACGGAAAUAACGGAAAUAACAGAAAUAACGGAAAUAACCACCACAAAGUUGGAAACAUAUGGCAGAAAAUUAGGUGAAAGGUCAAGAACAACAACAAAAAUAACGGAAAUAACGGAAAUAACGGAAAUAACCUCCAGAGAGACAGAAAUACACAGCAGAAAGUUACGUGACAGGUCAAGAACAACAACGGAAAUAACGGAAAGAACGGAAAGAACCACCAGAGAGACAGAAACAGACGGCAGAAAACUAGGUGACAGGUCAAGAACAACAACAGAAAUAAUGGAAUUAAUGGAAAUAACGGAAAUAGCGGAAAUAAAAAUGGACAUAACGGAAAUAAUAACGGAAAUAACGGAAAUAAUAACAGAAAUAACGGAAAUAACGGAAAUAACGGAAAUAACUGAAAUAAUCUCCACAAAGUUGGAAACAUACGGCAGAAAAUUCCGUGAAAGGUCAAGAACAACAAAGGAAAUAAUAACGGAAAGAUCGGAGAGAACCUCCGGAGAGACAGAAACAAACGGCAGAAAAUUAGGUGACAGGUCAAGAAGAUGAACGGAAAUAAUGGAAAUAAUGGAAAUAACGGAAAUAAUAGAAAAAACGGAAAUAACGGAAAUAGCGGAAAUAGCGGAAAUAGCGGACAUAACCUCCACAGAGACAGAAACAUACGGCAGAAAAUUAGGUGACAGGGCAAAAACAACAACGGAAAUAACGGAAAUAACGGAUAUAAAGGAAAUAACAAAAAAAACGGAAAUAGCGGAAAUAACAGAAAUAACGGAAAAAAACGAAAUAACGGAAAUAACGUCCACAGAAACAGAAACAUACGGCAGAAAAUUACGUGACAGGAAAAGAUCAACAACGUAAAUAACGGAAAUAAAGGAAAUAGUGGAAAUAGUGUAAAUAACGGAAAUAACGGAAAUAACCUCCACAGAGACAGAAUCAUACGGCAGAAAAUUAGGUGACAGGUCAAAAAUAACAACGGAAAUAAUGGAAAUAACGGAAAUAACGGAAAUAACGGAAGUAACGGAAAUAACGGAAAUAACCUCCACAGAGACAGAAACUUACGGCAGAAAAUUACGUGACAGGACAAGAACAAAAACGGAAAUAACAGAAAAAAACAAAAUAACGGAAAUAAUAAUGGAAAUAACGGAAAUAACGAAAAUAAAUACGGAAAUAACGGAAAUAAUAACGGAACCAAAGGAAAGAACCUUCAGAGAGAUGGAAACAUACGGCAGAAAAUUAGGUGACAGGUCAAGAACAACAACAGAAAUAAUGGAAAUAAUGGAAAUAAUAACGGAAAUAAAGGAAAGAACGGAAAUAACGGAAAUAACGGAGAUAACCUUCAGAGAGACAGAAACAUACGCCAGAAAAUUAGGUGACAGGUCAAUAACAAGAACAGAAACAACGGAAACAACAGAAACAACAAAAACAACGGAAACAACGGAAACAACUGAAACAACUGAAACAACGGAAACAACAGAAACAACAAAAACAACGGAAACAACGGAAACAACUGAAACAACUGAAACAACGGAAACAAUGGAAACAACAUUAAACAAUGGAAACAACGGAAAGAACGGAAAAAACCUCCAGUGACACAAAAACAUAGGGCAGAAAAUUAAGUGACAGGUCAAGAACAACAACGAAAAGAACAGAAAAAAAAAAGAAAUAACGGAAAAAAUAACGGAAAAAAUGGAAAUAACAGAAAUAAUAACAGAAAUAAUAACGGAAAGAACGGAAAUAAUAACGGAAAUAACGGAAAUAAUAACAGAAUAACAAAAAUAACAGAAGUAAAAACAGAAAUAACGGAAAUAACAAAAAUAAUAACAGAAAGAACGGCAAGAACCGCCAGAGAGACAGAAACAUAAGGCAGAAAAAUAGGUGACAGGUCAAGAACAACAACGGAAAUAAAUAAAAAAAACGAAAUAAUGGAAAUAAUAACGGAAAUAAUGGAAAUAAUAUUGGAAAUCAUGGAAAGAAUGGAAAGAACGGAAAGAACCUCCAGAGAGACAGAAACAUACGGCAGAAAAUCAGGCGACAGGUCAAGAACAAGAACAGAAUUACAAGAAAAAAACGAAAUAACGGAAAUAAUAACGGAAAUAACAGAAAAAGCAACGGAAAUAGUAACAGAAAAAAAUAACGGUAAUAAUAACGGAAAGAAUGGAAAGAACGGAAAGAACCUCCAGAGAGACAGAAACACACAGCAGAAAAUUAGGUGACAGGUCAAGAACAACAACAGAAAUAACGGAAACAACGGAAACAAUUAAAACAACGGAAACAACGGAAAUAACCUCCAGAGAGACAGAAACAUAUGGCAGAAAAUUAGGUGACAGGUCUGGAAAAACAACGGAAAUAACGGAAAUAACGGAAAUAACCUCCAGAGAGACAGAAACAUACGGCAGAAAAUUAAGUGACAGAUCAAGAAAAACAACGGAAAUAACUGAAAGAUCGGAAAUAACGGAAAUAACAGAAAUAACAGAAAUUACCUCCGAAGGACAGAAACAUACAGCUGAAAAUUAAAUGACAGGUCAAGAAUAACAACGGAAAGGACAGAAAAAACGGAAAUAACCUCCAGAGAGACAGAAAUAUACGGCAAAAAAUUAGGUGACAGGUCAAGAACAACAACGGAAAUAAUAGAAAUAAUGAUAAUAAUGGAAAAAAACGGAAGGAACCUCCACCAAGACAGAAACAUACAGCAGAAAAUUAGGUGACUGGUCAAGAACAACAAUGGAAAUAACGGAAAUGACGGUAGUAACGGAAAUAACCUCCAAAAGACAGUAACAUACGGCAGAAAAUUAAGUGACAGGUCAAGAACAACAACGGAAAUGACGGAAAUAACAGAAAUAACAGAAAUAACCUUUGAAAGACAGAAACAUAAGGCAGAAUACUAGGUGAG
This 3035-nucleotide long non-coding RNA is filed under the name Gallus gallus (chicken). RNAcentral's name for it is "lncRNA (ENSGALG00010007044.1)". The record is from RNAcentral. Lineage: Eukaryota; Metazoa; Chordata; Aves; Galliformes; Phasianidae.